This 30-nucleotide non-coding RNA is filed under the name Rattus norvegicus (Norway rat). The record is from RNAcentral. Lineage: Eukaryota; Metazoa; Chordata; Mammalia; Rodentia; Muridae.
UGUUAAGUUUCCAUACCUCUGCUAUGGUGU